AGUGAACGCUGGCGGUAGGCCUAACACAUGCAAGUCGAACGGCAGCACAGUAAGAGCUUGCUCUUACGGGUGGCGAGUGGCGGACGGGUGAGGAAUACAUCGGAAUCUACUUUUUCGUGGGGGAUAACGUAGGGAAACUUACGCUAAUACCGCAUACGACCUACGGGUGAAAGCAGGGGAUCUUCGGACCUUGCGCGGUUGAAUGAGCCGAUGUCGGAUUAGCUAGUUGGCGGGGCAAAGGCCCACCAAGGCGACGAUCCGUAGCUGGUCUGAGAGGAUGAUCAGCCACACUGGAACUGAGACACGGUCCAGACUCCGACGGGAGGAAGCAGUGGGGAAUAUUGGACAAUGGGCGCAAGCCUGAUCCAGCCAUACCGCGUGGGUGAAGAAGGCCUUCGGGUUGGAAAGCCCUUUUGUUGGGAAAGAAAAGCAGCAGGUUAAUACCCCGCUGUUCUGACGGUACCCAAAGAAUAAGCACCGGCUAACUUCGUG
This 492-nucleotide ribosomal RNA is filed under the name uncultured bacterium. RNAcentral describes it as "partial 16S ribosomal RNA". It matches the Rfam family "Bacterial small subunit ribosomal RNA", at positions 29 to 507 of the family's 1533-position model. The record is from RNAcentral.